This 180-nucleotide ribosomal RNA is filed under the name uncultured Glomeromycotina. RNAcentral's name for it is "partial small subunit ribosomal RNA". The stretch from base 91 to 180 matches the Rfam family "Eukaryotic small subunit ribosomal RNA", at positions 736 to 828 of the family's 1831-position model. Lineage: Eukaryota; Fungi; Glomeromycota. The record is from RNAcentral.
GACCUGAUCGGGUGGUCUUGCCGAAAGGUAAGCACUGCUCUGGUCGGGUCUUUCCUUCUGGAGAACCAGCGUGCGCUUAAAUGAGUGCGCUGGGGAUCCAGGACUUUUACUUUGAAAAAAUUAGAGUGUUCAAAGCAGGCCUAUGCCUGAAUACAUUAGCAUGGAAUAAUAAAAUAGGAC